This 253-nucleotide ribosomal RNA is filed under the name uncultured bacterium. RNAcentral describes it as "partial 16S ribosomal RNA". It matches the Rfam family "Bacterial small subunit ribosomal RNA", at positions 524 to 776 of the family's 1533-position model. The record is from RNAcentral.
UACGAAGGGGGCUAGCGUUGUUCGGAAUUACUGGGCGUAAAGCGCACGUAGGCGGAAUGUUAAGUCAGGGGUGAAAUGCCAAGGCUCAACCUUGGAACUGCCUUUGAUACUGGAGACCUUGAGUCCGGGAGAGGUGAGUGGAAUUGCGAGUGUAGAGGUGAAAUUCGUAGAUAUUCGCAAGAACACCAGUGGCGAAGGCGGCUCACUGGCCCGGAACUGACGCUGAGACGCGAAAGCGUGGGGAGCAAACAGG